AAAAUUUAAACAUUACAACUUUUGACUCUGGCACCCUUGAAUCAGGCAUCGAAGAGCAACACGUAAUGUUGCUUGCAGAAUUCAGAGUUGCAUCGAUCCUUUGAACACCCAUUGUUUGAGCGCGCAUUGUGCCGUUUGGGAUUGCUCAAGCCAUG
This 155-nucleotide ribosomal RNA is filed under the name Fusarium sp. U2. RNAcentral's name for it is "partial 5.8S ribosomal RNA". Lineage: Eukaryota; Fungi; Ascomycota; Sordariomycetes; Hypocreales; Nectriaceae. The record is from RNAcentral.